Clupea harengus (Atlantic herring) is the source of this 1039-nucleotide long non-coding RNA. The record is from Ensembl. Lineage: Eukaryota; Metazoa; Chordata; Actinopteri; Clupeiformes; Clupeidae.
UUCCUGAUUGAGACAAUAGACAAAUGUUUCAAAUGGCUAAUGUUUUACCUGCUGUUUAUCUGCGCUGAGUCAGUGAGGACAGUUUGCAUGCGGGUGAGGUGUACGUGGUUGAUACGUGGUCGAAGGGUUGACAUUUAGAGAGGUUGGUGCUGUGGUUUCAAAGCGACGCGUAGCAGUUAGAGUAAGGAGGAGGUGUGUGUGAGGAACAGGGGAGGAGGAGGAGGGAACACACACAGAAAGAAAGAGACAGAAAGAGAGAAAGAAAGACGAUAACAAGCGUGUCCUGGCAUGGGUUUUUCCCCCCAGGGUCGUCUGUGCUUUUACACUCAUCUUGGUAGUUUCACCCCCACCCACAAAUGACAAGAACAGCGGCAUUCAUUAUCGUUUUAAUAUAUCGUCAUCGUUUUAAUACGUCAACAGGCAGCAUUCAUUAUCGUUUUAAUAUAUCGUCAUCGUUUUAAUACGUCAACAGUCAGCAUUCAUUAAGGGUCUUAAUGCGUCAACAGGCAGCAUUCAUUAUCGUUUUAAUAUAUCGUCAUCGUCUUAAUACGUCAACAGUCAGCAUUCAUUAAGGGUUUUAAUACGUCAUCAGUCAGCAUUCAUUAAGGGUUUUAAUACGUCAACAGUCUAAAACUCCAACACAAGGCCUCAUGAGGAUACGGUGUGUAGAUGGCCGCAGACUUCUAUUGGACUAGAGUUAAAUUAGAGCUAUAUUAGCGUUAUAGUAACGUUACACUAGAGUUCCAUCCUACUAUUACAUAUGUACAGAUAUCCACAAGGUGUUUAUACACUAAACAAGUUCCCAGUCUCAAAGAGGAACAUGUAAAUGUUCAAGAAAAGGGUUGAUUUCGGACUGGACUGAGAGCCAGCCUGGUGCGUAAGUGAGCUGCUAUCACACAGAGGUCUGACCAAAUCAGUGGCAUCAGCCAGACGGGAGUCCCAGACAGAGCACAGGUAGUGGAAAUAAACGGGGAGAGAACGGGAGCCUGUGGCCAGGGAAGAUCUGACAGCUAUUUCAUCUCCACAAUAGUGCUGAUGG